Molecule: ribosomal RNA, 657 nt
Filed under: Staphylococcus haemolyticus
Lineage: Bacteria; Bacillati; Bacillota; Bacilli; Caryophanales; Staphylococcaceae
Description: bacterial SSU rRNA
Rfam family: Bacterial small subunit ribosomal RNA
Source: RNAcentral
GAGAGUACCGGAUAAUAUUUCGAACCGCAUGGUUCGAUAGUGAAAGAUGGUUUUGCUAUCACUUAUAGAUGGACCCGCGCCGUAUUAGCUAGUUGGUAAGGUAACGGCUUACCAAGGCGACGAUACGUAGCCGACCUGAGAGGGUGAUCGGCCACACUGGAACUGAGACACGGUCCAGACUCCUACGGGAGGCAGCAGUAGGGAAUCUUCCGCAAUGGGCGAAAGCCUGACGGAGCAACGCCGCGUGAGUGAUGAAGGUCUUCGGAUCGUAAAACUCUGUUAUUAGGGAAGAACAUACGUGUAAGUAACUAUGCACGUCUUGACGGUACCUAAUCAGAAAGCCACGGCUAACUACGUGCCAGCAGCCGCGGUAAUACGUAGGUGGCAAGCGUUAUCCGGAAUUAUUGGGCGUAAAGCGCGCGUAGGCGGUUUUUUAAGUCUGAUGUGAAAGCCCACGGCUCAACCGUGGAGGGUCAUUGGAAACUGUAAAACUUGAGUGCAGAAGAGGAAAGUGGAAUUCCAUGUGUAGCGGUGAAAUGCGCAGAGAUAUGGAGGAACACCAGUGGCGAAGGCGACUUUCUGGUCUGUAACUGACGCUGAUGUGCGAAAGCGUGGGGAUCAAACAGGAUUAGAUACCCUGGUAGUCCACGCCGUAAA